This 930-nucleotide long non-coding RNA is filed under the name Panax ginseng (ginseng). Its description in RNAcentral is "long non-coding RNA (PGIN_LNC006788)". Lineage: Eukaryota; Viridiplantae; Streptophyta; Magnoliopsida; Apiales; Araliaceae. The record is from RNAcentral.
UUUUGAGCCGUUAGAUUCCGCCACCCUUCUUCCCGAUAUUGUAUUAGAUCGGGAUGAGGAGCUGAGACUAUGGGUCGCGUCUCAGGAUCCCCCUACUAGCAGUACCGACAGAUAUCGAGUGUUAGGUCUGCCGAGGAUACCCGCAUAUACACUUCCUGGAGGUAAUAUUUUUUUAUGUUUCACGAAAUUAUUCGAAUUUAUCACAUUAUAUAAAUUAUUAUUAGUAAUCGAAUUUGUAUCUCUUUAUAGGCUCCAGCCAGCACCAACGUCCGAGAGCACAUGUCGGACCAUCUCAUACGGGCACUAGCUUGGAUGACAAUAUCUUCCAGCGGCUGAUAGGGGUCGUGUCGGAUAGGUUCUGUACCGAUCCGGUCUUUUGGCGUCAGCAGUUGCCUUCCAGUUCUCGUCUUCACCAGAUUGCUCAGGAUAUUAUAGCAGGGGCCUUUGUAGAGAGUACGGGAUUACCACGGGAGCAGUUCGACGCUUGGAGCGCCGAGAUGCUCCGGAUGGUGAUUACUCUCUUGGAGGAGGCUUUUCAUCUGCCCCCACCUACUCAGGUAUUCUUAUUGUUUAUGUUUUUUUCAAUUAAGGCUAGCUUGUUAAUUCUACAUAUAUAUAUAUAUAUAUAUAUAUAUAUAUAUAUAUAUACAGACUAAUGAUUUAUAUUUUUAAUUCUAUCAAUAGGGUGGCAAUGGCGAGCAGGCUGACGAUGAUGAGCAGGAGCACGACGCUGAUUCCAUACACCAGAGCAGCGUCGUUCACCUCCGCCCGAUGAUGAUACUUUUACUAGUUUAUAGUUCAUUCGUAUUCAUGUUAUUGUAGAACUUUUGUAUAUAUUGUAUUGUGUAAUUGCGUCUGUACAAGUAUUGUAAAUUAUAUUGUUUAUCAUUUAUGGAACAUUAGCUUAUAUUUGUAAUUGGUUAGUUUAUA